AGGGACACGUCAGGCCAUGGAAAGGGAGGGGCCCAGACCAGCACUGGCACACCACUCACCUCCGCUCCCAUAGGUUUCCGUGGUUACUGACUCUGAGCCCCGAAGUUUCCUCUUCACACGGGCGUCUCGCUCCCUGGGGAUGGGCAGUGGUGAUGAUGAUGAUGGUGAUGAUGGUGAUGAUGGUGAUGAUGGCAAUAACAGUACUUACCAGGUGCCAAGCCUUGCGCCCUGCCAGGGUCCCACCCUAUCGGGGCAGCAUGUGAUCCAAGUCCAGCUUGUCUCCCUCUGCCCAUGUCUACUAUCAUCACCUGGCAGCAUCUCUCUGGAAUCUUCACCUGCUUCACUUACCCAUCUUCCGGAAGUCCUCCCUGACUCCCAUCAGCCAUCAGUUACCCUUUCCCAUCGAGGGACCUUUCAGGGGCUGUGGUUUGAUUUCUUUCCUGGAACCAGGCCUGCUGCACAGCUGCUGCCGAGUAAGGACUUGUUGGUUCAGGAAGGGAAUCAACUACUGCCAUGUGGCUGACUCAGCAGGGCCCG
Long non-coding RNA from Ochotona princeps (American pika), 537 nucleotides. RefSeq lists it as uncharacterized. The record is from RefSeq and is a predicted model, not a curated record. NCBI's taxonomy places the organism in Eukaryota, Metazoa, Chordata, Mammalia, Lagomorpha, Ochotonidae. The transcript is spliced from 3 exons.